AAAAAGUUUCUCUCCAACUCCACGCUUUCUGUUUCCGUCUUCAGUACGCUUUCACUUUUCAGUUUUCACGUUUCCGUCAAAUCUCAAUCUCCUCUCCACGUCUCCACGCAAACCCACUACCCAGCCACCGCACCAUCAAACCUCAACCUUCCUCUCUUUACUAAUCGGUGUUAGUCAUCAAGAGCAAAUUGAAGCGGGUGGAAAAAUGGUCGUCGCAACCAUUUCCGAGUUCGGGAAUCGAUUAUGCGAGGGGAAGGUAUUAGCACCCCUCACAUCCGUUGUACUCAACGGGAACCUUCUCGUUAAUUUUAGGGUUAAAAGAGUGUUUUAAUUUAUUUGCUUGCUUUUUUUUAUUAAUUAUCAAAGUUAUUUACAAGAGGAAAAAAAAUUGGUUUUUUAUUAGUGUGCUUGACAAGAUGUGGAACCUUGCUCCUACGUAUCCCCGAGUGCAAUGGAGGAAUCAAAGCUACACGCAGUUCUUUGUAGAAAAUGAUUGUUGGUUGGUUGAUUUUACUUAUUGAAAAUGUUUUGGCCGCACUUGGGCGGAAAAAUUGUUUAAUUGAAAAGACGGACUCGUACUUGGACGAUGAUAUCCGCUCGAAAAACAAAAUAAUCGAACGCACACAGGCGUGAAAAUAAUAUUUGAUGGGUUGAAAUUGAUUUUAUUGUUUUUUAAGAGAAUGACGAUUAUCCGGACUACGAGUCAUACGUCAAGAGUCCAGAACACCGGGAAGUGGGGUAGUCAUACGUCAAUCCACUCCUUUUUCAUUCGUUUAUUUAUUGAAAAUGUUUGACGUGAAUAAAAGAAUUGAAAUUAAAGUUUGAUAUUUAUAUUUU
Molecule: long non-coding RNA, 837 nt
Organism: Trifolium pratense (red clover)
Lineage: Eukaryota; Viridiplantae; Streptophyta; Magnoliopsida; Fabales; Fabaceae
Exons: 2
Source: RefSeq, a predicted model, not a curated record